GUUUGAUCCUGGCUCAGAUUGAACGCUGGCGGCAGGCUUAACACAUGCAAGUCGAGCGGUAACAGGGGUAGCUUGCUACCCGCUGACGAGCGGCGGACGGGUGAGUAAUGCCUAAGAAUCUGCCUAGUAGUGGGGGAUAGCCCGGGGAAACCCGGAUUAAUACCGCAUACGCCCUACGGGGGAAAGGAGGGGAUCUUCGGACCUUUCGCUAUUAGAUGAGCCUGCGUAAGAUUAGCUAGUUGGUAGGGUAAAGGCCUACCAAGGCGACGAUCUUU
RNAcentral lists this ribosomal RNA (275 nucleotides) under Chattonella subsalsa. Its description in RNAcentral is "partial Bacterial small subunit ribosomal RNA". It matches the Rfam family "Bacterial small subunit ribosomal RNA", at positions 11 to 284 of the family's 1533-position model. The record is from RNAcentral. Lineage: Eukaryota; Raphidophyceae; Chattonellales; Chattonellaceae.